GAAACAUCUUUUCACUGGAAGACUUUGGCACCUGCUGUCACAUUGGAACACUGGGACAGGAACAGAAUUUUUGCACUGUUUAUUAUCUGUUGGCCGCAACGGUUGGAACUGUGUACAUUUGAAGCCAGGAGCAAGGAGCUUUCUCUGGGUCUCCCAUGUGGCUGCAGGGUCUCAAGGCUUUGGGCUAUCCUCAACUGCUUCCCCAGGCCACAAGCAGGGAGCUUGAAGGAAGGUGGAACAGCCAGAAUAUGAACUGGAGCCCAUAUGGGAUCCUGGGCAUGCAAGCAGGAAACAGUAUAUUGGAAAAUGCCUGCAUGUCACCUGACAACCAAGGAAAGAAUGGGGAAUGAGAAGAGGCAGAUGGAAUGGCUGGAAGAUUGAUUACAGUGAGUAAAUACACACAGGUAUUGAGGGUAAGUGGAGCUGGGGAUUUACAAAUACGGAAAGGUAGCAGACUGGAAAGAACUAAAAGAUGUUAGAUUGGCAUGUGUGUUUGCACAUGCCUGGAGAAAAGUAGGAUUCACAAAUUCAAGCCCACUCCUCCUCCAUCCAACUUCACCUGUAUCUAUCUCCUGUCCUUCGUAUUCCUCUCUAGCUCCAAACCAGUCAGGAGCAACGAGUGCCCAGGUCUGAGCUGCAAAAGAAACCUCCUGCUCUGUUGGGGGCACUUGACUGAUUUGCACCCAUUCCCAUAGUAGUCCAAUGAGACUGACACAGGACACUCCUAGGGGCGGAAAUAG
This is a long non-coding RNA of Ochotona princeps (American pika), 740 nucleotides long. RefSeq lists it as uncharacterized. NCBI's taxonomy places the organism in Eukaryota, Metazoa, Chordata, Mammalia, Lagomorpha, Ochotonidae. The record is from RefSeq and is a predicted model, not a curated record. The transcript is spliced from 3 exons.